UACAGAGGGUGCAAGCGUUGUUCGGAAUUAUUGGGCGUAAAGCGCGUGUAGGCGGCUUUGCAAGUCGGGUGUGAAAGCCCUCAGCUUAACUGAGGAAGUGCGCCCGAAACUGCAGAGCUUGAGUACCGGAGAGGAUGGCGGAAUUCCCCAAGUAGAGGUGAAAUUCGUAGAUAUGGGGAGGAACACCGGUGGCGAAGGCGGCCAUCUGGACGGAUACUGACGCUGAGACGCGAAAGCGUGGGUAGCAAACAGG
This 253-nucleotide ribosomal RNA is filed under the name uncultured bacterium. RNAcentral describes it as "partial 16S ribosomal RNA". It matches the Rfam family "Bacterial small subunit ribosomal RNA", at positions 524 to 776 of the family's 1533-position model. The record is from RNAcentral.